This 303-nucleotide ribosomal RNA is filed under the name uncultured bacterium. RNAcentral describes it as "partial 16S ribosomal RNA". It matches the Rfam family "Bacterial small subunit ribosomal RNA", at positions 507 to 809 of the family's 1533-position model. The record is from RNAcentral.
AGCAGUAGCCACGGUAAUACGUAGGGCGCAAGCGUUGUCCGGAAUUAUUGGGCGUAAAGAGCUCGUAGGCGGUCUGUCGCGUCUGGUGUGAAAUCCCGAGGCUCAACCUCGGGCUUGCAUCGGGUACGGGCAGACUAGAGUGCGGUAGGGGAGACUGGAAUUCCUGGUGUAGCGGUGGAAUGCGCAGAUAUCAGGAGGAACACCGAUGGCGAAGGCAGGUCUCUGGGCCGCAACUGACGCUGAGGAGCGAAAGCAUGGGGAGCGAACAGGAUUAGAUACCCCGGUAGUCCCUGUCUCUUAUAA